UACCAGACUCCACGGGAGGCAGCAGUGGGGAAUAUUGCACAAUGGGCGAAAGCCUGAUGCAGCAGCGCCGCGUGAGCGAUGAAGGCCUUCGGGUCGUAAAGCUCUGUCCUCAAGGAAGAUAAUGACGGUACUUGAGGAGGAAGCCCCGGCUAACUACGUGCCAGCAGCCGCGGUAAUACGUAGGGGGCUAGCGUUAUCCGGAUUUACUGGGUGUAAAGGGAGCGUAGACGGCGGCGCAAGUCUGAAGUGAAAGCCCGUGGCUCAACUGCGGAACCGCUUUGGAAACUGCGAGGCUGGAGUGCUGGAGAGGUAAGCGGAAUUCCUGGUGUAGCGGUGAAAUGCGUAGAUAUCAGGAGGAACACCGGUGGCGAAGGCGGCUUACUGGACAGUGACUGACGUUGAGGCUCGAAAGCGUGGGGAGCGAACAGGAUUAGAUACCCCCGUAUG
RNAcentral lists this ribosomal RNA (447 nucleotides) under uncultured bacterium. RNAcentral's name for it is "partial 16S ribosomal RNA". It matches the Rfam family "Bacterial small subunit ribosomal RNA", at positions 329 to 793 of the family's 1533-position model. The record is from RNAcentral.